This 520-nucleotide long non-coding RNA is filed under the name Phoenix dactylifera (date palm). RNAcentral's name for it is "long non-coding RNA (PDAC_LNC014739)". The record is from RNAcentral. Lineage: Eukaryota; Viridiplantae; Streptophyta; Magnoliopsida; Arecales; Arecaceae.
AAAUCCAAUGGCUCGCUACAUAUCUUUCUUCUCCUUCCACAUUGAGCCUACCCUCUAUUGCUUCAAAUCUCUGUUGGAGCAGACAUGCGGAUCUACAUCAUAAAUUGAUGCUCCUGGUGGAAUCCCUUUAGAUAGACUUCUUUCAGAUACCAAAACCAUCCAGCAUAGAUGCAAUCCGACCACGUUAUCUAAUCCGACCACGUUAUCUACUGGUGCCCUUUCUGACUGAGGUUAUCCUCAUUAACUCUGGAUCUUCUCUGCCGCUCGCAGAACCGGUGCCCGACUUGUAGAAUGAGAGCCCAAAUCGAGCCUUAUGCCUCUUCACCUCCUCCUGCUAUCACUGAUCAUCCAAGCUCCCCCGCAUGGCAGCCUGGAUUUGUUCCUCCUCAUCUAGACCCUCGACCUCCUCUGACUCCCUGAAGUGAUAGAAAGUGGCUCUGCCGCUUGGCUUUUCACCUUCGCCUUCUUCUUGGCAGCCCUCUCCUUGGCUUCUUUGAUGUUAGCGAGGUUCUUCCUCAUC